RNAcentral lists this ribosomal RNA (505 nucleotides) under uncultured bacterium. Its description in RNAcentral is "partial 16S ribosomal RNA". It matches the Rfam family "Bacterial small subunit ribosomal RNA", at positions 28 to 507 of the family's 1533-position model. The record is from RNAcentral.
GACGAACGCUGGCGGCGUGCCUAAUACAUGCCAGUAGAACGCACAGUUUAUACCGUAGCUUGCUACACCAUAAACUGUGAGUUGCGAACGGGUGAGUAACGCGUAGGUAACCUGCCUGGUAGCGGGGGAUAACUAUUGGAAACGAUAGCUAAUACCGCAUAAUAUUGAUUAUUGCAUGAUAAUUGAUUGAAAGAUGCUAUUGCAUCACUACCAGAUGGACCUGCGUUGUAUUAGCUAGUAGGUGAGGUAACGGCUCACCUAGGCGACGAUACAUAGCCGACCUGAGAGGGUGAUCGGCCACACUGGGACUGAGACACGGCCCAGACUCCUACGGGAGGCAGCAGUAGGGAAUCUUCGGCAAUGGACGAAAGUCUGACCGAGCAACGCCGCGUGAGUGAAGAAGGUUUUCGGAUCGUAAAGCUCUGUUGUAAGAGAAGAACGGGUGUGAGAGUGGAAAGUUCACACUGUGACGGUAUCUUACCAGAAAGGGACGGCAAACUACGUG